GCGGAUAUGGCGGAAUUGGCAGACGCGAUAGACUUAGGAUCUAUUCCGGAAGGGUGCAGGUUCAAGUCCUGUUAUCCGCACCA
This 83-nucleotide transfer RNA is filed under the name Candidatus Izemoplasmatales bacterium. RNAcentral's name for it is "tRNA-Leu". It matches the Rfam family "tRNA". From Rfam's summary of the family: Transfer RNA (tRNA) molecules are approximately 80 nucleotides in length. Their secondary structure includes four short double-helical elements and three loops (D, anti-codon, and T loops). Lineage: Bacteria; Bacillati; Mycoplasmatota; Mollicutes; Candidatus Izemoplasmatales. The record is from RNAcentral.